RNAcentral lists this ribosomal RNA (917 nucleotides) under Campylobacter jejuni. Its description in RNAcentral is "partial 23S ribosomal RNA". It matches the Rfam family "Bacterial large subunit ribosomal RNA", at positions 17 to 953 of the family's 2925-position model. Lineage: Bacteria; Pseudomonadati; Campylobacterota; Epsilonproteobacteria; Campylobacterales; Campylobacteraceae. The record is from RNAcentral.
GCGAAUGGUGGAUGCCUUGACUGGUAAAGGCGAUGAAGGACGUACUAGACUGCGAUAAGCUACGGGGAGCUGUCAAGAAGCUUUGAUCCGUAGAUUUCCGAAUGGGGCAACCCAAUGUAUAGAGAUAUACAUUACCUAUAUAGGAGCGAACGAGGGGAAUUGAAACAUCUUAGUACCCUCAGGAAAAGAAAUCAAUAGAGAUUGCGUCAGUAGCGGCGAGCGAAAGCGCAAGAGGGCAAACCCAGUGCUUGCACUGGGGGUUGUAGGACUGCAAUGUGCAAGAGGUAAGUUUAGCAGAACAUUCUGGAAAGUAUAACCAUAGAGGGUGAUAGUCCCGUAUGCGAAAAACAAACCUUAGCUAGCAGUAUCCUGAGUAGGGCGGGACACGAGGAAUCCUGUCUGAAUCCGGGUCGACCACGAUCCAACCCUAAAUACUAAUACCAGAUCGAUAGUGCACAAGUACCGUGAGGGAAAGGUGAAAAGAACUGAGGUGAUCAGAGUGAAAUAGAACCUGAAACCAUUUGCUUACAAUCAUUCAGAGCCCUAUGUAGCAAUACAGGGUGAUGGACUGCCUUUUGCAUAAUGAGCCUGCGAGUUGUGGUGUCUGGCAAGGUUAAGCAAACGCGAAGCCGUAGCGAAAGCGAGUCUGAAUAGGGCGCUUAGUCAGAUGCUGCAGACCCGAAACGAAGUGAUCUAUCCAUGAGCAAGUUGAAGCUAGUGUAAGAACUAGUGGAGGACUGAACCCAUAGGCGUUGAAAAGCCCCGGGAUGACUUGUGGAUAGGGGUGAAAGGCCAAUCAAACUUCGUGAUAGCUGGUUCUCUCCGAAAUAUAUUUAGGUAUAGCGUUGUGUCGUAAUAUAAGGGGGUAGAGCACUGAAUGGGCUAGGGCAUACACCAAUGUACCAAACCCUAUCAAA